This 447-nucleotide ribosomal RNA is filed under the name uncultured bacterium. RNAcentral describes it as "partial 16S ribosomal RNA". It matches the Rfam family "Bacterial small subunit ribosomal RNA", at positions 29 to 523 of the family's 1533-position model. The record is from RNAcentral.
AACGAACGCUGGCGGCAGGCCUAACACAUGCAAGUCGAGCGCCCCGCAAGGGGAGCGGCGGACGGGUGAGUAACGCGUGGGAACGUGCCCUUUGCUACGGAAUAGCCCCGGGAAACUGGGAGUAAUACCGUAUAAGCCCUACGGGGGAAAGAUUUAUCGGCAAAGGAUCGGCCCGCGUUGGAUUAGGUAGUUGGUGGGGUAAUGGCCUACCAAGCCGACGAUCCAUAGUUGGUUUGAGAGGAUGAUCAGCCACACUGGGACUGAGACACGGCCCAGACUCCUACGGGAGGCAGCAGUGGUGAAUCUUAGACAAUGGGCGCAAGCCUGAUCUAGCCAUGCCGCGUGAGCGAUGAAGGCCUUAGGGUCGUAAAGCUCUUUCGUGGGGGAAGAUAAUGACUGUACCCCAAGAAGAAGCCCCGGCUAACUCCGUGCCAGCAGCCGCCGCGG